CCUACGGGAGGCAGCAGUGAGGAAUAUUGGUCAAUGGACGAGAGUCUGAACCAGCCAAGUAGCGUGAAGGAUGACUGCUCUAUGGGUUGUAAACUUCUUUUAUAUGGGAAUAAAAUGUUCCACGUGUGGGAUUUUGUAUGUACCAUAUGACUAAGGAUCGGCUAACUCCGUGCCAGCAGCCGCGGUAAUACGGAGGAUCCGAGCGUUAUCCGGAUUUAUUGGGUUUAAAGGGAGCGUAGGUGGAUUGUUAAGUCAGUUGUGAAAGGUUGCGGCUCAACCGGAAAAUUGCAGUUGAAACUGGCAGUCUUGAGUACAGUAGAGGUGGUCGGAAUUCGUGGUGUAGCGGUGAAAUGCUUAGAUAUCACGAAGAACUCCGAUGGCGAAGGCAGCUCACUGGACUGCAACUGACACUGAGGCUCGAAAGUGUGGGUAUCAAACAGGAUUAGAUACCCGAGUAGUC
RNAcentral lists this ribosomal RNA (460 nucleotides) under uncultured bacterium. RNAcentral describes it as "partial 16S ribosomal RNA". It matches the Rfam family "Bacterial small subunit ribosomal RNA", at positions 338 to 795 of the family's 1533-position model. The record is from RNAcentral.